GGGGAUGUGGUGGAACUGGCAGACGCAACAGACUCAAAAUCUGUCGGCCGCAAGGUCAUGCGGGUUCGAUUCCCGCCAUCCCCACCA
RNAcentral lists this transfer RNA (87 nucleotides) under Clostridia bacterium. RNAcentral describes it as "tRNA-Leu". It matches the Rfam family "tRNA". From Rfam's summary of the family: Transfer RNA (tRNA) molecules are approximately 80 nucleotides in length. Their secondary structure includes four short double-helical elements and three loops (D, anti-codon, and T loops). Further hydrogen bonds mediate the characteristic L-shaped molecular structure. tRNAs have two regions of fundamental functional importance: the anti-codon, which is responsible for specific mRNA codon recognition, and the 3' end, to which the tRNAs corresponding amino acid is attached (by aminoacyl-tRNA synthetases). tRNAs cope with the degeneracy of the genetic code in two manners: having more than one tRNA (with a specific anti-codon) for a particular amino acid; and 'wobble' base-pairing, i.e. permitting non-standard base-pairing at the 3rd anti-codon position. Lineage: Bacteria; Bacillati; Bacillota; Clostridia. The record is from RNAcentral.